AGAAAAAUUUGAGGAGAAAAAUAGAGAGAAAAUCGGCCAAGAGGGAGUAAAAUCAACCCUCCAAAUUUCAUCCCCAAAAAUUAUAAUUUUCUAGUAUUCCUACUAAGUCAAGGGUGCUCUACAACAUGGUGGAGUUGUUUUGGAAGUUUGGAGACUUGUUUCAUUGAUUUGGAAGUGAAGAAGUUAGAAGAAAAAUGUACCGACGUUCGUUGUGUUGAGCCGCCUGUUUAGGACAUCUGCUGUGUUAUUGACAAUGCUCCUUUGUUCGGAGCUUGUAUUUUGGUACUGACUCUAUCUCUGUACAUUUGGAUAUGUUGGUCAGGGGUACGACGGGGCCCUGUCCCGUCUUAUGACUAUGCUAUCAUCUAUAGAGGUCUGUAGACAGAGUUAUGUUGUGAGUUUUGUAUAUAUGGUUUGGAUUUUGUGUGUUUUGCGACAGCCUAUUGAUCCUCGUGCCUACAUCUAUUUUUGCGAUCUAUUUAGCAAUCUUUUCUAAUCACUACAUUUGUUUAUUCAGAAAAAAAAAUAGACUAAUUUGGGAUAAGGGUACGUUUGGGUGCCCAACUCGGGCACCAGUCGCGGCCUACGGGGUUGGAUCGUGACAGUCAGUUUUACAAUUUGUUUCUUAUGUCUCCUCUCCUUUAUCGUUGUUGUCAAAUACUUGUUAUUUGAAUCUCUCAAUUUAAUCCACAUAGUCCUAGAUUUUUAUUGGUGAAUGCUAUCCUUAAUAUUUGUCCAUUUCUCCAGUUGGAUUAGAAGUCCUUUCUUUUCCAGUGCCAUAACAUCAGUGUAGUCUGAAGAAAGCUUCAACUACGUAAGUUUUAGGAUAUUUUUGAUGAUUUAGAUCUUCUCUAUAGCUCCCUUGUAAUUAUUAUUAUUCAACAUUUUUAAGUGUGGCUUCAACUGUUUCAACCUUUUUCAUAUACAUUUUAACUUAUUCCCAUGUAAUCUGCCAGUCCAUCUUCUUUGUAAUGCAGGGACAAAUGUCUCAUGGGUUGCCCAUAUAUUGAAGAAUUCAAAUCGAGUUUUGCUACUGGAUGAAGUGAGGUUCAUAUCCAGAAGCAUAGACUUUUGUAGGUUGUGAGCCCGGACCUGCUUGAUCUUCUAGCAUUUUCUACCACUUUCGAGGCUAUCAUUCUGAGUGUUGAGGUAGCUGUUACAUCCAUCCAGCGGACACCUCUUACCCUUUUAUUAUGUUUUAGUCUUAUUCUAGAGAUAAAGACAUUAUGACUGUAUUCUCUUUCGUACUUCGGUAAUGUAUUAGUGGCUUGCAUACGUGACAAUCAGUCUUGGAGAUUUUGAGAUUAUUUAUUUAUUUUUGACUAAGUUAAA
This is a long non-coding RNA of Solanum dulcamara, 1332 nucleotides long. RefSeq lists it as uncharacterized. NCBI's taxonomy places the organism in Eukaryota, Viridiplantae, Streptophyta, Magnoliopsida, Solanales, Solanaceae. The transcript has 3 exons. The record is from RefSeq and is a predicted model, not a curated record.